This is an RNA transcript of Loxodonta africana (African savanna elephant), 5918 nucleotides long. It is a transcript of the gene named neuregulin 3, with no coding region annotated. The transcript is spliced from 3 exons. The record is from RefSeq and is a predicted model, not a curated record. NCBI's taxonomy places the organism in Eukaryota, Metazoa, Chordata, Mammalia, Proboscidea, Elephantidae.
UGAAACUGUUGAGAAAUAAUGCAGCCAAGUCUCCGUUCUCUUCCUGGGACCUGUGUGAUGGUAGAGUUGUAGGCCGUGCAUUUGCGAUGUCAGCAUGUGUCUCUAGUGACUGGUGGGGGCUUUCCACUCUUCACAGAAGUAGUCAGCAUAGACUAGAGAGCAGCAACGAGGAACCCAUGAACUGUCCUAUGAGGGACUUCUUUACAUGUGAAAAUGUUCUAGCCACAGGCAGUCUCCAAACAAGCUCUUAGAGGCUCCAUGAAAACCCAUGAAUUACAUACAGUGAAACCUGUGAGAGCCGGAACUCGACGGGCUGUCUUAUUUUCCAGAUACAACGACAUAUUCCACAGAGCGCUCAGAGCACUUCAAACCCUGCCGAGACAAGGACCUUGCCUACUGCCUCAACGAUGGCGAGUGCUUUGUGAUCGAGACCCUGACCGGAUCACACAAACACUGUCGGUAAGUCACUGCAGCCACGCAUGUGGAAAGGGCAGGACCUGAGCAGGAGCUGGUGGCAGAGGGCGGUGGUGAGCAUGAGCACCAGAGACUGUGUCUGCCAUGCCUGCACUCCAGCUGUGCCAAUGGCAGAGUGGAGUCUUAACACAGGACAAGCGUUGGAAGGACUUAACACCAAAAGCAAUGUAGACAUGGUUUCAGUUUUACCUGACCAAGUAGAGAAAAGUUGACUUUCAUAUAUGCCCAUGUAAUGGAAGUGAUUAUUACUCACAUUACAAGCCUGGUGUGGGAUCUAGGUACACAUCCGGGUAACGUAGAAGUAAUCUUUUGUUGCAAAACUACAUUCUGAGGCAGGACAAAGCAAGCCACUCAUCUAAGAUCUCACCUCCUGUUCAUUGUGAACCACACCCCAGAGGCUGUAACUGUGUCCAGAGAAAAUUGCAUCUUACUUUGAUUCUGGCCUGGCUUAUUAAUUUCAAUCCAUUUUUUUAACACCUCUGAUGAUGAAACACUCUCCAGCAAGGUGUUGUAAAUGAAAUCAUAGUCCUGUUAUGGUCUCCGUAGUGAACUACUUAGGGGAACUUCUCUCUAGAGGCCAAGAAGGUGUUUAAUUGGUUUUUAGAGACAUAAGGUUACAUAACUGCUAAAAAUAAAAACAUGGAGAUCAACAGUGCACUUGUAGACAAGGCAGCUUUAAGGCUCAAUAGAAGAAUCAAAUUAGCAUCUGAAAAAUAUUUCCCACCCGGCUUUUAUUUCUAGCACUGCCCUGGUAAUUUGUUUUCCUUGCAGUUGUAUACGCUUCAGUGAUCAUCUGUAUCCACACCCCUUUCCUUCUCUUUAAUUACUCCACUCAUAUGUCACAGUUACUAAAUUAAUUAUUCUGAAUUAUGAAGCAUGGAAAAUUACAACUGUUUUCCUCUCUAUUGCUCUUAUAAAACUUUAUUUCUGUGUUAUUUUAUAAGAUGGCAUAGAGCAAUACAUUUUAUUGUUGUAAACUUGGAACGUGCCCCAAAAUCCCACCUGGCUCCAGGAACUAGCCUCCGUCCAUCAGAAGGACUUGCUUCCACAGGGGUCAGCUGGCCUGGGUUUGGAAGAAAUGAUGUAUAUAUAUAGUGGUAGAUAUCUGUGAAGCUUACAAUAUGUCCUGUGCUGGGACAAACAGACUGGUGGCCUUCCCUUCACCUUGGAUAUGGCAGCAUUCAUGUGAUUUCUGCCAAUGUCAUUACAUUGACACCAGUCACAACCUUCACAUCUUGUUCCUGUCCUUGGGAACCUGAGUGGGGAGUACAAACAGUGGGGAAUUGUUCCGCCCCUACUCCUCUUGUUUAUAUACAUUAUUUCAUCCUAGACACAAGUGACUUCUAGAAAGACGUCAGUGGAAAAGCCAGGAAUGAGCUACACUUUCAAAGCAUGAAGUGUGCCCAUGCUGGUACAGAUACACAACCAGAAAUCAAAGUCACCUUUGUUAUUCCUGCAGGAUCAUAUGUGGGAGUGGGCGUCACAGUCCAAUUAAGUUUUCAUUCCUCAUCAAUUGAUGAAGAGUUGGAUCAGAAGAAUCAGUUAAAGCAGCUGCUUGCUGUGAUGGUCUUUGGCUCUGGGGAAGGAUCAGAGCAGGCCCCACCAAAGUACACAGGCUGAUUUGAUUCAUGCUUUCCAAAGCCAGGAAUGUCCAAAAGAGCAAAAUAGUUCUUAUUCUUCAACAUACAAUCUCACUGUAUUCUCUAUUAGUUCAUGGGCCUCAGGUCUAAAAAAUAAUCAUUUGCUUUUGUGGGCAUGUAUGUGUGUAAUUAUUUUAACAUACACGAGCCACGAUAUAGCUAUGUACAUGUAUAAUAAUUUUGUACUUCUGUCUUCAUAUUUUUGCAUAUUUCAGCACAGACGACAUGUUAUUUAAUUUAGAGUCACAACAUAGCUAAUCAUGACAAAAGACCAGCCUAAGACAGAAUUGGAACUCGAGUAAAGGCGAAUAGAUGCCUAUAAAUCUUCUACUACUGUAUAUGAAUAAAUCAUACAUUGCUUGUGCCAGCUAUUCAUCUCCCAGGCUUUGCUAUGAAUAAAAGGCUUACGUUUGUUCCUGCACGAGCCACUUCUAAGAAUUCCAGUGUAGUUAUUAAUAACGUGCCAUUUUGUAUAGCACUCUAUUUAAGCAGUACGUUCCAUUCAUUCUUUGCCCAUCCAACCAAUGCUUAUGGAGCACCUCCUAUCACUGAGAUACUGUUGAAUAAAUACAUACAGAAAUGAACUCAGGAAUUAAAUGGCACUGCACUCUGUAAUGUGCUUGAAGUAAGAGAAAUACUUCAUCCUUAGUAAACAUCAAAAACAAGGGGAAGUGUGUUAGAGUGACUUGCCCGCUACCAGGGGUUUCUUUACGAUGCAUUAGCAACCAGAUUAUGUUUCCCAUUAAGCAAGAUGCCAUUUAGUAGAUCAGAGCAGCAAUAUAAGGGCUGUGCACGAAUCUAGAUUAUUAAAUAGUUUACUUUUGACAUGUCUCAAAGGAUUAGACAUCUAACUCUGAGAGAAAUUGAUUAUAUUUUCUAGUUUUUUUUUUUUAAUAUUGCAAUCCUAUGAUAAACUACACCAAAUUUUAUUUUCUAUGCUUUGAAAAUAUACCACACUCUCACAUUUUUCUGUUUCCUUGCCAAGGAAGAGUAGUAGCCAAACUACUGAGUGUGACUCAGAAACCCUGUGACAGGUAUACUGGCAGUGCAUGCUCCAAAAUGGGAACAGCUCAGCUCCAGCAUAGGGGGCUUAACGUUCUUCCCUUUGUUGUGGCUGUCGUUGUUUUAGGUAUUUUCCAGUCUUUCAAAAAACGUUUACAGUGUCAAUAAUUUAGAAUUAGAGAAAAUUAAUGAAAAUUUCAGAGAGACACCAAGGUCCUAAAAAUAGCUUGGGAAUAGGAUUUUAAAGAGCAAUACAUAAACACACACAUGCACACAAACAUACAAACAUGCAUAAACAGGUGAACUUGCUCUUUCUAAAUUUAAAGUCUCAGAUCAUCCAGAGAUUGAUCAGUGAAAAUAGCCUCGUCAGUAGUGGAACUUAUUAUAAUACUAAAGGUGGAUUCUUAAAUUAGAGGAAAAAUGAGAGGCUGAUAGUUCAAUAAAUGAUUGACCACUAAAUAAAAAAAUACCAACCUUGGAUUCUUACCUCUUCUCUAUACCAGAAGUUAUUCUCAGUAAAUUCGAGAAUUAAUGUAAUAAAUAAGGAAUACAUAAAACAGUAAAUAAAAUUAUGUAUUUUUUAUGUCAGAAAUUAAAGGACCUUUUGAGCAAAAAUGAAAUGAGAGAUAAAAUUAAAGAAUUUUGAUAAAAUGUACGUUAUUUUCUCAUCUGAACAUCAAAAUUCAGAAACAAAACUAAAACACAAGCACUGAGUGAACCAUUAUAGCAAAUACCACAAAGAAUUAAUAAUCUAAAGAAGUCACACAGAUCAAUAAGGCCAAAAGUGAGGGGCAUAAUCUUUGCUUAAAAAGAGUAAAAACAACAAAUAAACAUGAAAAAUACUCAGCUUCACAAACAAAUGUAAAUUAGAUGGGCUGUGUUUUUGCCUGUCAAAGAUUUAGUGAUUUUUAAAACUCAAUAUUCAGUUUGGUGAGAUUUCAGUAGAAACACAUUCUCAUAAAACUAGUUGAGGAGUGUACUUUGUUAAAUAUUUUCUGUAGACGGUGUUUCAGUAUGUUUCAAAACAUUAUAUUGUUUCUAAGAGUCUGGCCUACGGAAAUGUAUACGAAGGUUUUUUUGUAAGGAUUUCAACACAGGUUUAUUUAUAAUAGCAAAAAAAAAAAGUCUGAAUUUAAGUAUCUACAUAAAUUAGAGGAGCCUUGGUGGUUAAGAGCUAUGGCAGCUAACCAAAAGGUUGGCAGUUUGAAUCUACCAGCUGCUCCUUGGAAACCCUAUGGGGCAAUUCUACUCUGUCCUGUAGGGUCACUAUGAGUCGGAACUGACCUGAUGGAAAUGGGUUUUAUUUUUUGGUUUGGUUAUAUAAAUUAGAAUAUAUCUAUAUGUUGGAUGAAAUCAAUAUAACUGGAAUUUUCAAAAUGUUUCACUGACAUGAAAAUGCUCAUUGUAUCAUGCUUUAUAUGAAAACCAGUUUAGAAAAUUGUAAAGCUGAACAUACAAUAAGACCCUCAUUCUGAAAAGAAACUAAAUAAAUAUGUGAAUAGGGUUUACAACUAUUUUCUUUUUUGAGCCUUAUGAUUUUUCUAAGAUCUCUACAUUGCACAUGGAUGUAAGUUAUAAUUCAAAAAAUUUAUUUUUGAAAAAUAUUUUAAUGGAAAGAAAACAAGUUAACCGCUCUUCAUCUUUUUCCUUUAGAUUGAUUGUUAUUAGUUCUUCAUUAAAAAUAAUUGUCCAGCAUAGGAAUGCCUUAUAGAGUCAUACUUAUCCUUCAUGUGUACCAUCUGGUUAAGGAAGAUUGGACCCAUGCUAAAAGCCUUUCUGUAAAGAAAGAUAGUGUCCCUGUCUCUGUCAAAUUGAAACCUGUUGCCCUUAAGUUGAUUCCGACUCAUAGUGACUCUAUAGGACAGACUAGAACUGCACCACAGGACUUCCAAGGCUAUAAUCUUUAUGGAAGCCAACUGCCACGUCUUUUUCCCACCAUGCUGUUAUAAUCCAUUAUUAUUAAGCUGAUUAGAGAGUUUUCAAUUAGCUCAUUCUAAAUUAAGCACUGCUAAGUCUAUUUAAAUGUAUCUGCUCAUCCUAUUAUUAAUAAUUCAUUUUUACUCUUUAAAAUAAUUAUUUCCUAUGCUCAAUUCAUGUGUUUUGAAAACAUUUUAAAAAAUUGGAUUCGGUAUAUAAUAAGACACAUUCUGCAGAAAUAAAUCUGGGUAGAGAAGAAUAGCAAGUCACUAAAAACUCCUAGAAUCAAAAUAUUCUGAAUAAAAGCAGGGUGUUUUCUGAUCUAUUUAUUUUCAUGUCUUUGCUAGAAACUUUAAGAACUUGUAAAAUUGUGCUCUUGGUAAUAUAUUUCACUAGAAUGAAAGAGGUAGCCAUUGUAACUUAAAAUAUUGCCGGGUAUUUGAAUGGACCAAGUGUAUUUUUAGGCCAAAUUCAAGUUAAAAGGAUGUAUCUUUUCUGAAUUGAACCUCAUUAAAUAUCUCACUAGCCCUACCGCACAAAAUGAAUUUUCAAAACUUUGGAAAGGAUAGCAUUUGAGUUGAAUUAGACCUAUAUUGAUCAUUUUGGAAAUCUACCAAGCGAUUCACUUGAAGAUGCUUGAAAUAUGUAACUCCUAGAACAAGAGGAAAGCAAUCCAAAAGCAACCAUCGCCACCGGCAAUGCCUCGGUAAGGAGGCUGAUGGACUAGGCAGCAAUCUGGGAAACUGCUGGUCUGGUUGGGAGAAGGGCAGCCAUUGAAAAGGAGGAGAACCCUACAAGGAGAUGCUGUUCCUUCUCACGUCUAGCUCUGACUGAGUAGAUUUUUCAACAAAACUUCCAUUUUUAAGAGGAUUGAGCACAGUAUAA